Molecule: ribosomal RNA, 376 nt
Filed under: uncultured Glomeromycotina
Lineage: Eukaryota; Fungi; Glomeromycota
Description: LSU rRNA
Source: RNAcentral
UUGAAAGGGAAACGAUUGAAGUCAGUCGUACCAGCGGGAAAUCAACCUUUCGGAGUGGGGGUUUUGGAGUUUUGAAGAGUGUCAAAACCUUUGAGAUUUCAAAAUUUUCGCUCUUUUGGUGUACUUUCUCGUGGGUAGGUUAACAUCGAUUUUGAUCAUCAUAAAAAGAUUGGAGGAAUGUAGCUUCGAUCUUGUAUUGAAGUGUUAUAGCCUUUGGUAAAUGUGAUGAUUAGGAUCGAGGAUUGCAACGAAUACCCUUUUGGGCUAUCCGCCUGAUCUCUGAUACGUGGCCUUGGUAUCGAAAGCGUGCUUAUGGUAUUGAGGUAUUACGGUCAAAAGGUUAGAACGGAUUACAUUCGUUAAGGAUGUUGACGUA